GGGGCGAAAGACUAAUCGAACCAUCUAGUAGCUGGUUCCCUCCGAAGUUUCCCUCAGGAUAGCUGGCGCUCUCGCACGCGAACCCACGCAGUUUU
This 95-nucleotide ribosomal RNA is filed under the name Myotragus balearicus (Balearic islands cave goat). Its description in RNAcentral is "partial 28S ribosomal RNA". It matches the Rfam family "Eukaryotic large subunit ribosomal RNA", at positions 920 to 1002 of the family's 3401-position model. The record is from RNAcentral. Lineage: Eukaryota; Metazoa; Chordata; Mammalia; Artiodactyla; Bovidae.